ACGAACGCUGGCGGCGUGCUUAACACAUGCAAGUCGAACGGAAAGGCCCUGCUUUUGUGGGGUGCUCGAGUGGCGAACGGGUGAGUAACACGUGAGUAACCUGCCCUUGACUUUGGGAUAACUUCAGGAAACUGGGGCUAAUACCGGAUAGGAGCUCCUGCUGCAUGGUGGGGGUUGGAAAGUUUCGGCGGUUGGGGAUGGACUCGCGGCUUAUCAGCUUGUUGGUGGGGUAGUGGCUUACCAAGGCUUUGACGGGUAGCCGGCCUGAGAGGGUGACCGGCCACAGUGGGACUGAGAUACGGCACAGACUCCUACGGGAGGCAGCAGUGGGGAAUAUUGCACAAGGGGCGGAAGCCUGAUGCAGCAACGCCGCGUGCGGGAUGACGGCCUUCGGGUUGUAAACCGCUUUCGCCUGUGACGAAGCGUGAGUGACGGUAAUGGGUAAAGAAGCACCGGCUAACUACG
RNAcentral lists this ribosomal RNA (465 nucleotides) under uncultured bacterium. RNAcentral's name for it is "partial 16S ribosomal RNA". It matches the Rfam family "Bacterial small subunit ribosomal RNA", at positions 29 to 505 of the family's 1533-position model. The record is from RNAcentral.